UACGUAGGGUGCGAGCGUUGUCCGGAAUUAUUGGGCGUAAAGAGCUCGUAGGCGGCUUGUCACGUCGGGUGUGAAAGCCCGGGGCUUAACCCCGGGUCUGCAUUCGAUACGGGCAGGCUUGAGUGUGGUAGGGGAGAUCGGAAUUCCUGGUGUAGCGGUGAAAUGCGCAGAUAUCAGGAGGAACACCGGUGGCGAAGGCGGAUCUCUGGGCCAUUACUGACGCUGAGGAGCGAAAGCGUGGGGAGCGAACAGG
RNAcentral lists this ribosomal RNA (253 nucleotides) under uncultured bacterium. RNAcentral's name for it is "partial 16S ribosomal RNA". It matches the Rfam family "Bacterial small subunit ribosomal RNA", at positions 524 to 776 of the family's 1533-position model. The record is from RNAcentral.